AGUGAACGCUGGCGGUAGGCCUAACACAUGCAAGUCGAACGGCAGCACAGAGGAGCUUGCUCCUUGGGUGGCGAGUGGCGGACGGGUGAGGAAUACAUCGGAAUCUACUCUGUCGUGGGGGAUGACGUAGGGAAACUUACGCUAAUACCGCAUACGACCUACGGGUGAAAGCAGGGGAUCUUCGGGCCUUGCGCGAUUGAAUGAGCCGAUGUCGGAUUAGCUAGUUGGCGGGGUAAAGGCCCACCAAGGCGACGAUCCGUAGCUGGUCUGAGAGGAUGAUCAGCCACACUGGAACUGAGACACGGUCCAGACUCCUACGGGAGGCAGCAGUGGGGAAUAUUGGACAAUGGGCGCAAGCCUGAUCCAGCCAUACCGCGUGGGUGAAGAAGGCCUUCGGGUUGUAAAGCCCUUUUGUUGGGAAAGAAAUCCAGCUGGCUAAUACCCGGUUGGGAUGACGGUACCCAAAGAAUAAGCACCGGCUAACUUCGUGCCAGCCGCCGCGGUAA
Molecule: ribosomal RNA, 506 nt
Filed under: uncultured bacterium
Lineage: Bacteria
Description: partial 16S ribosomal RNA
Rfam family: Bacterial small subunit ribosomal RNA
Source: RNAcentral